Molecule: transfer RNA, 62 nt
Filed under: unidentified
Description: Iphicrates gressitti tRNA-Asp
Source: RNAcentral
AAAAAGUUAGUUUAUAUAAAAUAUUAAUUUGUCAAAUUAAAGAAAUUAUUUAAUACUUUUUA